UACGUAGGUGGCAAGCGUUGUCCGGAUUUACUGGGUGUAAAGGGCGUGCAGCCGGAGAGACAAGUCAGAUGUGAAAUCCACGGGCUCAACUCGCGAACUGCAUUUGAAACUGUUUCCCUUGAGUGUCGGAGAGGUAAUCGGAAUUCCUUGUGUAGCGGUGAAAUGCGUAGAUAUAAGGAAGAACACCAGUGGCGAAGGCGGAUUACUGGACGAUAACUGACGGUGAGGCGCGAAAGCGUGGGGAGCAAACAGG
This 253-nucleotide ribosomal RNA is filed under the name uncultured bacterium. Its description in RNAcentral is "partial 16S ribosomal RNA". It matches the Rfam family "Bacterial small subunit ribosomal RNA", at positions 524 to 776 of the family's 1533-position model. The record is from RNAcentral.